This 393-nucleotide ribosomal RNA is filed under the name uncultured bacterium. RNAcentral describes it as "partial 16S ribosomal RNA". It matches the Rfam family "Bacterial small subunit ribosomal RNA", at positions 523 to 918 of the family's 1533-position model. The record is from RNAcentral.
AUACGGAGGAUGCGAGCGUUAUCCGGAUUUAUUGGGUUUAAAGGGUGCGCAGGCGGGUGAUUAAGUCAGCGGUGAAAGGCUCGGGCUCAACCGGGGCAGGGCCGUUGAUACUGGUUGUCUUGAAUGCGGUCAAGGCCGGCGGAAUGUGGCGUGGUGAGGUGAAAUGCAUAGAUAUGCCACAGAACACCGAUAGCGAAGGCAGCUGGCCGGGCCUGCAUUGACGCUGAGGCACGAAAGCGUGGGGAUCGAACAGGAUUAGAUACCCUGGUAGUCCACGCUGUAAACGAUGGACACUCGUUGUCGGCGACAGACAGUCGGCGGCCAAGCGAAAGUGAUAAGUGUCCCACCUGGGGAGUACGGUCGCAAGGCUGAAACUUAAAGGAAUUGACGGGG